Molecule: long non-coding RNA, 2066 nt
Organism: Zalophus californianus (California sea lion)
Lineage: Eukaryota; Metazoa; Chordata; Mammalia; Carnivora; Otariidae
Source: Ensembl
UGCGAAUAAACUUCACAAACAUAAUGUUGGGCUAUAGAAGCCAGACCCCAAAGAGAAGACAAUCCGUAUGAUCCAUUUAUAGAAAGUUCAAAAGUAGGAAAAAAAGUAAUCUAUGCUGUUAAGAGUCAAGGCAGUGGUUACAUUUGGAGGAUAGCACCUGGAAGGGGAGAUGAAAGGCCUUCUUGGGUGCUGAUAACGUUCUAUGUCUUGAUCUUCGUUUUGGUGCACUGUAUGAAAUGAAUUCACCGUAUGAAACUUCACUAAGCUGUAUGUGUAUGAUCUGUGCUCUUCUUCAUUAUGUCUGGUAGACUUAAAUAAAAAGAGGCUAAAUGUGAGGAGCAUAUCACAGACUCUGGCACAUAGUAAGUACUCAAUAAAUGCUAGUUAUCAUGAAGGAAUGAAUGAAAGAACCCUCGCCUUGCCUUCCAGGGAAAUACAUUAGCAGUCAGAACCAUGGACAGAUCAGAGUCUGCUCUCGAGGAAAGCUGAAGGAAAAAGUGAUCUUAGGUCAGCUACAAAGGAUUGGAAGCAGAUCCAGCUCUUCUAAUCCACCAGCUCUUCAGGCCAAAAUCACAAGCCAAUCUCCUCUGCACUCUAUAUGGAAUCGCUGCCAUGGGUAAUGUUCCUGACAACUUGGAUGCAAAAGCCCCAUGGAUAGUCCCAGGCUUGGAGUACGAAGGGUUGGUCUCCCCGAGCAUCACUUGACCUGUCUUCACCACAUUCAGCCCCUCCCAGGCCAUGGCAACCACAGACCCUGAUUGCAAGUACUUUACCAGGCCACCAGAGAAAGGUCGGUCCUUCAGGUCAAUGUAGUGUUCUUUGAGAAGGUCUUCUGAAGCCUGAAUUAAUUUCAUAGCAAUGAGGAGGAAUCCCUUUUGCUCAAAACGCUUGAUGAUCUCUCCCAAGAGGCUGCACUGGACCCCAUCAGGCUUGAGGCAAUGAAGGUGUGUUCACUGUUGGCCAUGGACCUGGGGAUAGACAGCCCACCAGCUGCUCGGGUUGCAACUCCAUCUGGGGCUGCCGGCAGUGCUGCACAGCACUGGAGGAGCCUAGAAGGAUUCUAAGGCCUCUUUGAGCAGACCUAGCCCAACACAUUGCAUCCCUGAGCUCUACAAGGCUCCCGCUUGGGCAGUCACAGGGUUUCACAGUCUUGCAGAGAACCCAGACACCCAACACUCAAAGAAGGAGAGAAAACCGGCCAAUCAAAUGAUAGUUUCCCUUAGGAAAUCCCCCUGCUCCUACCCCCAGGGCUGCCCCUCUGCACCAGUCAGUUUUCCCUGUGGCCCCACCAGGCCAGUCUCUGGCCUUCAGCCUCCCCCAGCAGAGGGCUGAGGACCAUCACCUGGCCCUGGUAGGGAAUUGACCUGGGAAGCCCAAAGGUAAGUGGUAGGGGCUCAGGGGAGGGGGAGCCCCAGGUGCUGCAGGAAGUGGAGCUGUUAAUUAAGCAGUUCCUUCCCAGCCUGGGAGAGGGAGAUGGGGAGCUGCAGAGGUCCAGGAAGCAGUGGCUCUUAAAGGGGACAAGACCCCUUUCUGAACCUAUUAGGAAGAGCUGUGCUGUAUCCCAGGCUUCUUUACACGUCACACCCAGGAUUUGUCCUGUCCUCUGGGGCUCACUGGUGAAACUAUUUAGUGGGAGAGAAGCCUGUUAAGGAACCCAUGUGAGGGGCGCCUGGGUGGCUCAGUCGUUAAGCAUCUGCCUUCUGCUCAGGUCAUGAUCCCGGGGUCCUGGGAUCGAGCCCUGCGUCCCCCUGCUCGGCGGGAAGCCUGCUUCUCCCUCUCCCACUCCCCCUGCUUGUGUUCCCUCUCUUGCUGUGUCUCUGUCAAUUAAAAAAUAAAAUCUUUAAAAAAAAAAAAAAGGAACCCAUGUGACCAGCAUUCCUCUGAGAAGCCUUGGGGAGUCCCUGGGAGCACAGAACCAGGAGAGGGCACUCUAAGGCCCAGCUCCAGCUCCAAGGGGCGGGACAAAGGCAAGACUAAGGAAAUCCCAGGAAGAGAUGCUCUGAAGGGUCAGGUGGUCAGAUGGUUGUGAUAAGCAGCAGCAACGAGGGCCCCUUGAUAAUGCUUGG